AGCUUUGCGCAGUGGCAGUAUCAUAGCCAAUGAGGUUUGUCUGAGGCGCGAUUAUUGCUAAAAAAAUAAAAUAAAAUAAA
Molecule: non-coding RNA, 80 nt
Organism: Myotis davidii
Lineage: Eukaryota; Metazoa; Chordata; Mammalia; Chiroptera; Vespertilionidae
Source: Rfam